UGUCGCCUACGGGGGCAGCAGUGGGGAAUAUUGGGCAAUGGGCGCAAGCCUGACCCAGCAACGCCGCGUGAAGGAUGAAGGCUUUCGGGUUGUAAACGUCUUUUCUCAGGGACGAAGCAAGUGACGGUACCUGAGGAAUAAGCCACGGCUAACUACGCGCCAGCAGCCGCGGUAAUACGUAGGUGGCAAGCGUUAUCCGGAUUUACUGGGUGUAAAGGGCGUGUAGGCGGGAAAGCAAGUCAGAUGUGAAAACCAUGGGCUCAACCUGUGGCCUGCAUGUGAAACUGUUUUUCUUGAGUACUGGG
This 305-nucleotide ribosomal RNA is filed under the name uncultured bacterium. RNAcentral's name for it is "bacterial SSU rRNA". It matches the Rfam family "Bacterial small subunit ribosomal RNA", at positions 333 to 653 of the family's 1533-position model. The record is from RNAcentral.